CUAACGACGCUCUUCCGAAGUGAUCCUGAUCUAGCAGACGGUGCUCGAAGGUGAGUCGGAGCUGUUGCUCUAAAAAUUUAAAGACUCCCUUUCUGCUAUCUGGCAUUUGCCCACAGUCUCAAGGUAAACCACAGAAAACCUUGAGCAGAUAGUCGAG
Long non-coding RNA from Diprion similis, 157 nucleotides. RefSeq lists it as uncharacterized. The transcript is spliced from 3 exons. NCBI's taxonomy places the organism in Eukaryota, Metazoa, Arthropoda, Insecta, Hymenoptera, Diprionidae. The record is from RefSeq and is a predicted model, not a curated record.